GCUUGGCAUGGUGGUGCACACCUGUAAUCCUAGCAACGUGGGAGGCUGAGGCAGGAGGAUUGCAAAUUUGAAGCCUCAGCAAUUUAGCAAGACUCUCAGUAACUUAGAGAGAUCCUGUCUCAA
Molecule: small RNA, 123 nt
Filed under: Marmota monax (woodchuck)
Lineage: Eukaryota; Metazoa; Chordata; Mammalia; Rodentia; Sciuridae
Source: RNAcentral